CAAAAUUCUGGCGGGCCGUAGAGCGUGCGCAUGCGGUUUUGUAGGUCUGUCGUGAAAUCCCCGGGCUCAACCUGGGAAUUGCGAUGGACACUGCAAGGCUACAAUCUGGCAGAGGGGUAUAGAAUUCCACGUGUAGCAGUGAAAUGCGUAGAGAUGUGGAGGAACACCGAUGGCGAAGGCAGCCCCCUGGGUCAAGAUUGACGCUCAUGCACGAAAGCGUGGGGAGCAAACAGGAUUAGAUACCCUGGUAGUCCACGCCCUAAACGAUGUCUACUAGUUGUCGGGUUUUAAUUAACUUGGUAACGCAGCUAACGCGUGAAGUAGACCGCCUGGGGAGUACGGUCGCAAGAUUAAAACUCAAAGGAAUUGACGGGGACCCGCACAAGCGGUGGAUGAUGUGGAUUAAUUCGAUGCAACGCGAAAAACCUUACCUACCCUUGACAUGUCAGGAAUACCGAAGAGAUUUGGUUGUGCCCGAAAGGGGAACCUGAACACAGGUGCUGCAUGGGCUGUCGUCAGCUCGUGUCGUGAGAUGUUUGGGUUAAGUCCCGC
Molecule: ribosomal RNA, 552 nt
Filed under: Massilia sp.
Lineage: Bacteria; Pseudomonadati; Pseudomonadota; Betaproteobacteria; Burkholderiales; Oxalobacteraceae
Description: bacterial SSU rRNA
Rfam family: Bacterial small subunit ribosomal RNA
Source: RNAcentral